AGUGAACGCUGGCGGUAGGCCUAACACAUGCAAGUCGAACGGCAGCACAGUAAGAGCUUGCUCUUACGGGUGGCGAGUGGCGGACGGGUGAGGAAUACAUCGGAAUCUACUUUUUCGUGGGGGAUAACGUAGGGAAACUUACGCUAAUACCGCAUACGACCUACGGGUGAAAGCAGGGGAUCUUCGGACCUUGCGCGAUUGAAUGAGCCGAUGUCGGAGUAGCUAGUUGGCGGGGUAAAGGCCCACCAAAGCGAGGAUCCGUAGAUGGUCCGAGUGGAGGAUCAGAUACACAGGAACUGAGACACGAAGCAGACGCCGACGGGAGGCAGCAGUGGGGAAUAUUGGACACUGGGUGCAAGGCUGAUCCAGCCAUACCGCGUGGGUGAAGUCGGCCUUCGGGUUGUAAAGGUCUGUUGUUGGGUAAGAAUAGCUGCAGGUUAAUCCCACGCUGUUCUGACGGUACCCAAAGAAAAAGCACCGGCUAACUAGGU
Molecule: ribosomal RNA, 491 nt
Filed under: uncultured bacterium
Lineage: Bacteria
Description: partial 16S ribosomal RNA
Rfam family: Bacterial small subunit ribosomal RNA
Source: RNAcentral